Molecule: ribosomal RNA, 480 nt
Filed under: Shigella flexneri
Lineage: Bacteria; Pseudomonadati; Pseudomonadota; Gammaproteobacteria; Enterobacterales; Enterobacteriaceae
Description: bacterial SSU rRNA
Rfam family: Bacterial small subunit ribosomal RNA
Source: RNAcentral
CUGGCGGCAGGCCUAACACAUGCAAGUCGAACGGUAACAGGAAGCAGCUUGCUGUUUCGCUGACGAGUGGCGGACGGGUGAGUAAUGUCUGGGAAACUGCCUGAUGGAGGGGGAUAACUACUGGAAACGGUAGCUAAUACCGCAUAACGUCGCAAGACCAAAGAGGGGGACCUUCGGGCCUCUUGCCAUCGGAUGUGCCCAGAUGGGAUUAGCUAGUAGGUGGGGUAACGGCUCACCUAGGCGACGAUCCCUAGCUGGUCUGAGAGGAUGACCAGCCACACUGGAACUGAGACACGGUCCAGACUCCUACGGGAGGCAGCAGUGGGGAAUAUUGCACAAUGGGCGCAAGCCUGAUGCAGCCAUGCCGCGUGUAUGAAGAAGGCCUUCGGGUUGUAAAGUACUUUCAGCGGGGAGGAAGGGAGUAAAGUUAAUACCUUUGCUCAUUGACGUUACCCGCAGAAGAAGCACCGGCUAACUCCG